UACGUAGGGUGCAAGCGUUAAUCGGAAUUACUGGGCGUAAAGCGUGCGCAGGCGGUUAUGUAAGACAGAUGUGAAAUCCCCGGGCUCAACCUGGGAACCGCAUUUGUGACUGCAUAGCUAGAGUACGGUAGAGGGGGAUGGAAUUCCGCGUGUAGCAGUGAAAUGCGUAGAUAUGCGGAGGAACACCGAUGGCGAAGGCAAUCCCCUGGACCUGUACUGACGCUCAUGCACGAAAGCGUGGGGAGCAAACAGG
This 253-nucleotide ribosomal RNA is filed under the name uncultured bacterium. RNAcentral's name for it is "partial 16S ribosomal RNA". It matches the Rfam family "Bacterial small subunit ribosomal RNA", at positions 524 to 776 of the family's 1533-position model. The record is from RNAcentral.